GAAAAGCCCUGGGUUAAUACCCUGGGGUCAUGACGGUACCGUAAGAAUAAGCACCGGCUAACUUCGUGCCAGCAGCCGCGGUAAUACGAAGGGUGCAAGCGUUACUCGGAAUUACUGGGCGUAAAGCGUGCGUAGGUGGUCUGUCAAGUCCGAUGUGAAAGCCCUGGGCUCAACCUGGGAACUGCAUUGGAAACUGGCAGUCUGGAGUGCGGUAGAGGGUAGCGGAAUUCCCGGUGUAGCAGUGAAAUGCGUAGAUAUCGGGAGGAACAUCCGUGGCGAAGGCGGCUACCUGGACCAGCACUGACACUGAGGCACGAAAGCGUGGGGAGCAAACAGGAUUAGAUACCCUGGUAGUCCACGCCCUAAACGAUGCGAACUGGAUGUUGGGGGCACUUUGGCCUUCAGUAUCGAAGCUAACGCGUUAAGUUCGCCGCCUGGGGAGUACGGUCGCAAGACUGAAACUCAAAGGAAUUGACGGGGGCCCGCACAAGCGGUGGAGUAUGUGGUUUAAUUCGAUGCAACGCGCAGAACCUUACUUGGCCUUGACAUCCACGGAACCCUCCAGAGACGGAGGGGUGCCUUCGGGAACCGUGAGACAGGUGCUGCAUGGCUGUCGUCAG
This 620-nucleotide ribosomal RNA is filed under the name uncultured Lysobacter sp. RNAcentral describes it as "bacterial SSU rRNA". It matches the Rfam family "Bacterial small subunit ribosomal RNA", at positions 447 to 1058 of the family's 1533-position model. The record is from RNAcentral. Lineage: Bacteria; Pseudomonadati; Pseudomonadota; Gammaproteobacteria; Lysobacterales; Lysobacteraceae.